Molecule: ribosomal RNA, 440 nt
Filed under: uncultured bacterium
Lineage: Bacteria
Description: partial 16S ribosomal RNA
Rfam family: Bacterial small subunit ribosomal RNA
Source: RNAcentral
CCUACGGGAGGCAGCAGUAGGGAAUAUUGCUCAAUGGGGGAAACCCUGAAGCAGCAACGCCGCGUGGAGGAUGAAGGUUUUCGGAUUGUAAACUCCUUUUGUUAGAGAAGAUAAUGACGGUAUCUAACGAAUAAGCACCGGCUAAAUCCGUGCCAGCAGCCGCGGUAAUACGGAGGGUGCAAGCGUUACUCGGAAUCACUGGGCGUAAAGAGCGCGGAGGCGGGAUAGCAAGUCAGAUGUGAAAUCCUAUGGCUUAACCAUAGAACUGCAUUUGAAACUGUUAUUCUAGAGUAUGGGAGAGGUAGGUGGAAUUCUUGGUGUAGGGGUGAAAUGCGUAGAGAUCAAGAGGAAUACUCAUUGCGAAGGCGACCUGCUAGAACAUAACUGACGCUGAUGCGCGAAAGCGUGGGGAGCAAACAGGAUUAGAUACCCGUGUAGUC